GUGCCAGCCGCCGCGGUAAUACGGAGGGUGCAAGCGUUAUCCGGAUUUACUGGGUUUAAAGGGUGCGUAGGCGGGCUUUUAAGUCAGCGGUGAAAUCUCCGGGCUCAACCCGGAAAUUGCCGUUGAUACUAUUAGUCUUGAAUUAAGUUGAGGUGGGCGGAAUAUGUCAUGUAGCGGUGAAAUGCUUAGAUAUGACAUAGAACACCGAUUGCGAAGGCAGCUCGCUAAACUUAUAUUGACGCUGAGGCACGAAAGCGUGGGGAUCAAACAGGAUUAGAAACCCUCGUAGUCC
RNAcentral lists this ribosomal RNA (292 nucleotides) under uncultured bacterium. RNAcentral's name for it is "partial 16S ribosomal RNA". It matches the Rfam family "Bacterial small subunit ribosomal RNA", at positions 505 to 796 of the family's 1533-position model. The record is from RNAcentral.